This 649-nucleotide ribosomal RNA is filed under the name uncultured bacterium. RNAcentral describes it as "bacterial SSU rRNA". It matches the Rfam family "Bacterial small subunit ribosomal RNA", at positions 1 to 663 of the family's 1533-position model. The record is from RNAcentral.
GGCUUAGAGUUUGAUCAUGGCUCAGGACGAACGCUGGCGGCGCGCCUAACACAUGCAAGUCGAACGGAGUUGAGAGGAGCUUGCUUUUCUCGACUUAGUGGCGAACGGGUGAGUAACGCGUGAGGAACCUGCCUCAAAGAGGGGGACAACAGUUGGAAACGACUGCUAAUACCGCAUAAGCCCACGGUCUCGCAUGGGACAGAGGGAAAAGGAGCAAUCCGCUUUGAGAUGGCCUCGCGUCCGAUUAGCUAGUUGGUGAGGUAACGGCCCACCAAGGCGACGAUCGGUAGCCGGACUGAGAGGUUGAACGGCCACAUUGGGACUGAGACACGGCCCAGACUCCUACGGGAGGCAGCAGUGGGGAAUAUUGCACAAUGGGGGAAACCCUGAUGCAGCGACGCCGCGUGGAGGAAGAAGGUCUUCGGAUUGUAAACUCCUGUUGUUGGGGAAAAAGAGGAUGGUACCCAACAAGGAAGUGACGGCUAACUACGUGCCAGCAGCCGCGGUAAAACGUAGGUCACGAGCGUUGUCCGGAAUUACUGGGUGUAAAGGGAGCGCAGGCGGGUAUGCAAGUUGGGAGUGAAAUACAUGGGCUCAACCCAUGAACUGCUCUCAAAACUGUGUAUCUUGAGUAGUGCAGAGGUAGGCG